AUUGAACGCUGGCGGCAUGCCUUACACAUGCAAGUCGAACGGCAGCACGGGUGCUUGCACCUGGUGGCGAGUGGCGAACGGGUGAGUAAUACAUCGGAACGUACCUUAUCGUGGGGGAUAACGCAGCGAAAGCUGUGCUAAUACCGCAUACGCCCUGAGGGGGAAACCGGGGGAUCGCAAGACCCCGCGCGAUAACAGCGGCCGAUGCCUGAUUAGCUAGGUGGUGGGGUAAAAGCCCACCAAGGUGACGAUCAGUAGCUGGUCUGAGAGGACGAUCAGCCACACUGGGACUGAGACGCGGCCCAGACUCCUACGGGAGGCAGCAGUGGGGAAUUUUGGACAAUGGGGGCAACCCUGAUCCAGCAAUGCCGCGUGAGUGAAGAAGGCCUUCGGGUUGUAAAGCUCUUUUGUCAGGGAAGAAACACCGGCUCUAACACAGUCCGGGAAUGACGGUACCUGAAGAAUAAGCACCGGCUAACUACGUGCCAGCAGCCGCCGUAA
RNAcentral lists this ribosomal RNA (501 nucleotides) under uncultured bacterium. RNAcentral describes it as "partial 16S ribosomal RNA". It matches the Rfam family "Bacterial small subunit ribosomal RNA", at positions 29 to 523 of the family's 1533-position model. The record is from RNAcentral.